RNAcentral lists this long non-coding RNA (1085 nucleotides) under Oncorhynchus mykiss (rainbow trout). RNAcentral's name for it is "lncRNA (ENSOMYG00000059018.1)". Lineage: Eukaryota; Metazoa; Chordata; Actinopteri; Salmoniformes; Salmonidae. The record is from RNAcentral.
AUGAUGAACAUAGAGCACAAGGCUUUCUGCAAGCUCCGCCGCUCCAUGCACCCCACCUCGCCAGCUGACAUCGAUCCUAAGGUCCACAGCACCGUGGAAAGAGCUGUGAGGAGCAUUCUGGGCGAGCAGUCCAAUGAGCCCCGUAGCAACCUGCUCAGCCCAUCUCAGGUGGUGGUGGAGGUGGUGCCCAGGCUCCUCCUGGCCCUGUGGCUUCAGCCAGAGGAAGGCCAUUCAGAGCACCCAAGAGAGAGAGACUUAGAGAGCACUCUGACAGGUGCCGUUUGUCAUGACAUCUUAGUAGAACCUUUCAACUGGCCAGUAUUUAGAAGCUACGGUUUGCAUUUGUUCACAUUCUGUUCCUCUUUUUUCCCUUUCCAGAGGAUGUUGCUGUGGUCAUCCCGGAUGUCACCCCACACGUCACCAAGGACGUGGCACUGGAAGUUCCAUGCAGAGCUAGGAAAGGGGCAGUCCGGCUAUUAUUUUGCAGGCUUUGGAGGGCAGUGUGCUGCUGCCCCUGCCACAAGGAAGAGGAGAAACAAUAUUAAUUAUUCAUCAGACCUUCAGAAAUGGGAUUGAACCAUAGACCAUUCAAUUAUUCGCAUUAUAAUUGGACUCAAUUCUGCUUUUCUUCUGUUUACUACUUAAUUUCAGAACAUUUCUAUAAACUUUCACUUUGCAAGUGUGGAGUAGGUUAUGUAAAUAAGUGAGAAACAUCACAAUUUUAAUGCUUUUAAUUAAAAAAAAGGGGCCCUCAACCAACGUUCAGUUGAGGUGCAACCAAAUAUUUGAAUCAUCAUAGAAAAGGAAAAGGAGCAACUCUUGCUCACUAUAAAAAAUGCAUUGUUUUAUUCAGGCAAGGUUAAAAGAUUAACGUUUUGGCCUAGUCUGUGAUGAUAUGCAAGUUGUGUUUGUAGCAGGAAAAGGGUGACCCCUUUAACGAAAUGGGACUUGUCAAUUCUUGAAUAAAAAUCUUUAAUGAACAUGAAUUUAUAUACAAUUGACUUGAGGAUCAGAGCAGGCAGGCUGACUGGCUAGCCCUGAAGGCCCUCUGCCUCUACCUGUGUGGUUCAUCUCAACCAAGAGGU